CCUUCGGGGUUUUACUUAGUGGCGAACGGGUGAGUAACGCGUGAGCAACCUGCCUCUUUAAGGGGGAUAACAACCGGAAACGGUUGCUAAUACCGCAUAAGACCACACUGUCGCAUGACAGAGAGGUCAAAGGAGCAAUCCGCAGAGAGAGGGGCUCGCGUCCCAUUAGGUAGACGGCGGGGUAACGGCCCACCGUGCCGACGAUGGGUAGCCGAGCUGAGAGGCUGAUCGGCCACACUGGAACUGAGACACGGUCCAGACUCCUACGGGAGGCAGCAGUGGGGAAUAUUGGGCAAUGGGCGAAAGCCUGACCCAGCAACGCCGCGUGAGGGAAGAAGGUCUUCGGAUUGUAAACCUCUGUCCUUGGUGACGAAGGAAGUGACGGUAGCCAAGGAGGAAGCCCCGGCUAACUACGUGCCAGCAGCCGCGGUAAUACGUAGGGGGCGAGCGUUGUCCGGAAUUACUGGGCGUAAAGGGUGCGUAGGCGGUGGAUUAAGUUGGAUGUGAAAUACCCGGGCUUAACUUGGGGGGUGCAUCCAAUACUGGUUCACUAGAGUGCAGGAGAGGAAAGCGGAAUUCCUAGUGUAGCGGUGAAAUGCGUAGAUAUUAGGAGGAACACCAGUGGCGAAGGCGGCUUUCUGGACUGUAACUGACGCUGAGGCACGAAAGUGUGGGGAGCAAACAGG
RNAcentral lists this ribosomal RNA (686 nucleotides) under uncultured rumen bacterium. Its description in RNAcentral is "bacterial SSU rRNA". It matches the Rfam family "Bacterial small subunit ribosomal RNA", at positions 77 to 776 of the family's 1533-position model. The record is from RNAcentral.